This 876-nucleotide ribosomal RNA is filed under the name Triticum aestivum (bread wheat). RNAcentral's name for it is "partial small subunit ribosomal RNA". Lineage: Eukaryota; Viridiplantae; Streptophyta; Magnoliopsida; Poales; Poaceae. The record is from RNAcentral.
AUGUCGGCGGCGUCGGGCGCCGCGUGCCGCGUGUGUGGCGGGGGCGCUGAGGACUGCUCCUGCUUGCUGCAGCGCGGGAGAGGGGCUGCAGGGGUGCGGUGCGGGGUGGCCGACCUGAACCGGGGCUUCCCCGGGAUGUUCGGCCAGGCGGCGGAGGAGCCGGCCGUCGACGUCGUCGGCGCAGGCGGCGGCGCGGCGGCGGUGGGGCUGCAGGAGUUCCAGUUCUUCGGGCAGGAGGACCACGAGAGCGUGGCCUGGCUGUUCAACGACCACGCGCCCCUCGGCGGGGAGGACCGCCUGCAGCACCGCCCGGCGCCCACCGAGCAACUGCAGCGCCGCCAGGCGUUCGACGCGUACGCCGAGUAUCAGCCCGGACACGGCCUCACGUUCGACGUGCCCGUGCCGCUCAGCCGAGAUGUCGUCGACACGGCCAUUCUGGGGCUCGGAGGCGGCAACCCGGUCACGUCCGCCGCCGCAAUCAUGCAUUAUUGCGGGAGAGAAACGUUGACGUUCACGGAAGCCGCGGCCAGCUCGGUCGACCGGAACGACGACACGGCGGCGGGGCUGGCCAACGGCGGCGCGUACUCUGCCGGCCCAAGCGGCGGCGUCGUCGGCGACGUACCGGCACCAACGGAGCUGCGGGAGGCGAAGCUGAUGCGGUACAAAGAGAAGCGGAAGAGGCGGCGGUACGAGAAGCAGAUCCGGUACGCGUCCCGCAAGGCCUACGCCGAGAUGCGGCCGCGCGUCAAGGGACGGUUCGCCAAGGUGCCCGACGGCGGCGAGGGCGCGGCACCGUCGCCGUCGCCGCCGCAGCAGCCGACGCAGGCCGCCGACUACGAGCCCGGCCGGCUCGACCUCGGGUGGUUCCGCUCGUAG